UUACGGCCACAUUACGUUGAAACAUUGGUUCCUGUACGACCACCGAAGUUAAGCAACGUUGAGCAUGGUCAGUACCCAGAUGGGUGGCCGCUUGGGAAGACCAGGUGCU
Molecule: non-coding RNA, 109 nt
Organism: Acanthosepion pharaonis
Lineage: Eukaryota; Metazoa; Mollusca; Cephalopoda; Sepiida; Sepiidae
Source: the annotation of a GenBank genome assembly